AUUGAACGCUGGCGGCAGGCUUAACACAUGCAAGUCGAACGAUGAUUAUCUAGCUUGCUAGAUAUGAUUAGUGGCGGACGGGUGAGUAACAUUUAGGAAUCUGCCUAGUAGUGGGGGAUAGCUCGGGGAAACUCGAAUUAAUACCGCAUACGACCUACGGGUGAAAGGGGGCGCAAGCUCUUGCUAUUAGAUGAGCCUAAAUCAGAUUAGCUAGUUGGUGGGGUAAAGGCCCACCAAGGCGACGAUCUGUAACUGGUCUGAGAGGAUGAUCAGUCACACCGGAACUGAGACACGGUCCGGACUCCUACGGGAGGCAGCAGUGGGGAAUAUUGGACAAUGGGGGCAACCCUGAUCCAGCCAUGCCGCGUGUGUGAAGAAGGCCUUUUGGUUGUAAAGCACUUUAAGCAGGGAGGAGAGGCUAAUGGUUAAUACCCACUAGAUUAGACGUUACCUGCAGAAUAAGCACCGGCUAACUCUGUGCCAGCAGCCGCGGUAAUACAGAGGGUGCGAGCGUUAAUCGGAAUUACUGGGCGUAAAGCGAGUGUAGGUGGCUCAUUAAGUCACAUGUGAAAUCCCCGGGCUUAACCUGGGAACUGCAUGUGAUACUGGUGGUGCUAGAAUAUGUGAGAGGGAAGUAGAAUUCCAGGUGUAGCGGUGAAAUGCGUAGAGAUCUGGAGGAAUACCGAUGGCGAAGGCAGCUUCCUGGCAUAAUAUUGACACUGAGAUUCGAAAGCGUGGGUAGCAAACAGGACUAGAUACCCUGGUAGUCCACGCCGUAAACGAUGUCUACUAGCCGUUGGGGUCCUUGAGACUUUAGUGGCGCAGUUAACGCGAUAAGUAGACCGCCUGGGGAGUACGGCCGCAAGGUUAAAACUCAAAUGAAUUGACGGGGGCCCGCACAAGCGGUGGAGCAUGUGGUUUAAUUCGAUGCAACGCGAAGAACCUUACCUGGUCUUGACAUAGUGAGAAUCCUGCAGAGAUGCGGGAGUGCCUUCGGGAAUUCACAUACAGGUGCUGCAUGGCUGUCGUCAGCUCGUGUCGUGAGAUGUUGGGUUAAGUCCCGCAACGAGCGCAACCCUUUUCCUUAUUUGCCAGCGGGUUAAGCCGGGAACUUUAAGGAUACUGCCAGUGACAAACUGGAGGAAGGCGGGGACGACGUCAAGUCAUCAUGGCCCUUACGACCAGGGCUACACACGUGCUACAAUGGUAGGUACAGAGGGUUGCUACACAGCGAUGUGAUGCUAAUCUCAAAAAGCCUAUCGUAGUCCGGAUUGGAGUCUGCAACUCGACUCCAUGAAGUCGGAAUCGCUAGUAAUCGCAGAUCAGAAUGCUGCGGUGAAUACGUUCCCGGGCCU
RNAcentral lists this ribosomal RNA (1355 nucleotides) under uncultured bacterium. Its description in RNAcentral is "bacterial SSU rRNA". It matches the Rfam family "Bacterial small subunit ribosomal RNA", at positions 28 to 1381 of the family's 1533-position model. The record is from RNAcentral.